GCUAUUUAGGUUAGAGUUUGAUCAUGGCUCAGGACGAACGCUGGCGGCGUGCUUAACACAUGCAAGUCGAACGGAAAGGCCUCUUCGGAGGUACUCGAGUGGCGAACGGGUGAGUAACACGUGGGCAAUCUGCCCUGCACUUCGGGAUAAGCCUGGGAAACUGGGUCUAAUACCGAAUAGGACCUUUAGACGCAUGUCUUUUGGUGGAAAGCUUUUGCGGUGUGGGAUGGGCCCGCGGCCUAUCAGCUUGUUGGUGGGGUGAUGGCCUACCAAGGCGACGACGGGUAGCCGGCCUGAGAGGGUGUCCGGCCACACUGGGACUGAGAUACGGCCCAGACUCCUACGGGAGGCAGCAGUGGGGAAUAUUGCACAAUGGGCGCAAGCCUGAUGCAGCGACGCCGCGUGGGGGAUGACGGCCUUCGGGUUGUAAACUCCUUUCGACCGAGAUGAAGAGGCGCCGACCUAACACGUCGGCGUCCUGACAGUAUCGAGGGAAGCAGCCCCGGCUAACUCCGUGCCAGCAGCCGCGGUAAU
Molecule: ribosomal RNA, 534 nt
Filed under: uncultured bacterium
Lineage: Bacteria
Description: bacterial SSU rRNA
Rfam family: Bacterial small subunit ribosomal RNA
Source: RNAcentral